RNAcentral lists this ribosomal RNA (460 nucleotides) under uncultured bacterium. Its description in RNAcentral is "partial 16S ribosomal RNA". It matches the Rfam family "Bacterial small subunit ribosomal RNA", at positions 338 to 795 of the family's 1533-position model. The record is from RNAcentral.
CCUACGGGAGGCAGCAGUGAGGAAUAUUGGUCAAUGGACGAGAGUCUGAACCAGCCAAGCAGCGUGAAGGAUGACUGCCCUAUGGGUUGUAAACUUCUUUUAUAAGGGAAUAAAACGAGGCACGUGUGCCUUUCUGCAUGUACUUUAUGAAUAAGGAUCGGCUAACUCCGUGCCAGCAGCCGCGGUAAUACGGAGGAUCCGAGCGUUAUCCGGAUUUAUUGGGUUUAAAGGGAGCGUAGACGGGUUGUUAAGUUAGUUGUGAAAGUUUGCGGCUCAACCGUAAAAUUGCAUUUGAUACUGGCAGUCUUGAGUACAGUUGAGGUAAGCGGAAUUCGUGGUGUAGCGGUGAAAUGCUUAGAGAUCACGAAGAACCCCGAUUGCGAAGGCAGCUUACUAAGCUGUGACUGACAUUGAUGCUCGAAAGUGUGGGUAUCAAACAGGAUUAGAUACCCUUGUAGUC